Molecule: ribosomal RNA, 1443 nt
Filed under: uncultured Eubacteriales bacterium
Lineage: Bacteria; Bacillati; Bacillota; Clostridia; Eubacteriales
Description: bacterial SSU rRNA
Rfam family: Bacterial small subunit ribosomal RNA
Source: RNAcentral
GAUGAACGCUGGCGGCGUGCUUAACACAUGCAAGUCGAACGGACAUAAUUAGUUUACUAGUUAUGUUAGUGGCGAAAGGGUGAGUAACGCGUGGGCAACCUACCUCUUACAGGGGAAUAACAACGUGAAAACGUUGCUAAUACCGCAUAACAAUUAUUUAAGACAUCUUAGAUAAUACAAAAGAGCAAUCUGGUAAGAGAUGGGCCCGCGUCCGAUUAGUUAGUUGGUGAGGUAACGGCUCACCAAGACCGCGAUCGGUAGCCGGACUGAGAGGUUGAACGGCCACAUUGGGACUGAGACACGGCCCAGACUCCUACGGGAGGCAGCAGUGGGGAAUAUUGCACAAUGGACGAAAGUCUGAUGCAGCAACGCCGCGUGAAGGAAGAAGGUCUUCGGAUUGUAAACUUCUUUGAUCAGGGAAGAAAAAUGACAGUACCUGAAGAACAAGCCACGGCUAACUACGUGCCAGCAGCCGCGGUAAUACGUAGGUGGCGAGCGUUAUCCGGAAUUACUGGGUGUAAAGGGCGCGUAGGCGGGAUUGCAAGUCAGAUGUGAAAUACCAAAGCUUAACUUUGGUACUGCAUAUGAAACUGCAAUUCUUGAGUGUCGGAGAGGAAAGCGGAAUUCCCUGUGUAGCGGUGAAAUGCGUAGAUAUAGGGAGGAACACCGGUGGCGAAGGCGGCUUUCUGGACGAUAACUGACGCUGAGGCGCGAAAGCGUGGGUAGCAAACAGGAUUAGAUACCCUGGUAGUCCACGCUGUAAACGAUGGAUACUAGGUGUAGGAGGUAUCGACCCCUUCUGUGCCGGAGUAAACACAAUAAGUAUCCCACCUGGGGAGUACGGUCGCAAGGCUGAAACUCAAAGGAAUUGACGGGGGCCCGCACAAGCAGUGGAGUAUGUGGUUUAAUUCGAAGCAACGCGAAGAACCUUACCAGGACUUGACAUCCCCUGCAUAGCAUAGAGAUAUGUGAAGUCUCUUCGGAGACAGGGAGACAGGUGGUGCAUGGUUGUCGUCAGCUCGUGUCGUGAGAUGUUGGGUUAAGUCCCGCAACGAGCGCAACCCCUAUUGUUGGUUGCCAUCAUUAAGUUGGGCACUCCAGCGAGACUGCCGGUGACAAAUCGGAGGAAGGUGGGGACGACGUCAAAUCAUCAUGCCCCUUAUGUUCUGGGCUACACACGUACUACAAUGGCUGUUACAAAGGGCAGCAAGAGUGCAAACUUAAGCGAAUCUCAAAAAACAGUCUCAGUUCGGAUUGUGGGCUGCAACUCGCCCACAUGAAGUCGGAAUUGCUAGUAAUGGCAGGUCAGCAUACUGCCGUGAAUACGUUCCCGGGCCUUGUACACACCGCCCGUCACACCAUGAGAGUCUGUAACACCCGAAGUCAGUAGUUUAACCUUUAACUAGGAGAGCGCUGCCGAAGGUGGGACAGAUAAUUGGGGUG